GCCAGGCAUGGUGGUGCAUGCCAGUAAUCCCAGUCACUUGGGAGGCUGAGGCAGGAGGUUUGCAAGUUCAAGGUCAGCCUCAG
This 83-nucleotide small RNA is filed under the name Marmota monax (woodchuck). The record is from RNAcentral. Lineage: Eukaryota; Metazoa; Chordata; Mammalia; Rodentia; Sciuridae.